UCCCCGAUAGCUCAGUUGGUAGAGCACCUGACUGUUAAUCAGGUUGUCGCUGGUUCGAGCCCAGCUCGGGGAG
RNAcentral lists this transfer RNA (73 nucleotides) under Halospina denitrificans. RNAcentral's name for it is "tRNA-Asn". It matches the Rfam family "tRNA". Rfam says of the family: Transfer RNA (tRNA) molecules are approximately 80 nucleotides in length. Their secondary structure includes four short double-helical elements and three loops (D, anti-codon, and T loops). Lineage: Bacteria; Pseudomonadati; Pseudomonadota; Gammaproteobacteria. RNAcentral also lists the same sequence under 1 other name. The record is from RNAcentral.